GAUCAGUGGGAGAGCAUUUGACUGCAGAUCAAGAGGUCCCCGGUUCAAAUCCGGG
Molecule: transfer RNA, 55 nt
Organism: Astyanax mexicanus (Mexican tetra)
Lineage: Eukaryota; Metazoa; Chordata; Actinopteri; Characiformes; Acestrorhamphidae
Rfam family: tRNA
About the family: Transfer RNA (tRNA) molecules are approximately 80 nucleotides in length. Their secondary structure includes four short double-helical elements and three loops (D, anti-codon, and T loops). Further hydrogen bonds mediate the characteristic L-shaped molecular structure. tRNAs have two regions of fundamental functional importance: the anti-codon, which is responsible for specific mRNA codon recognition, and the 3' end, to which the tRNAs corresponding amino acid is attached (by aminoacyl-tRNA synthetases). tRNAs cope with the degeneracy of the genetic code in two manners: having more than one tRNA (with a specific anti-codon) for a particular amino acid; and 'wobble' base-pairing, i.e. permitting non-standard base-pairing at the 3rd anti-codon position.
Source: Rfam